Dromaius novaehollandiae (emu) is the source of this 3037-nucleotide long non-coding RNA. RefSeq lists it as uncharacterized. The transcript is spliced from 2 exons. The record is from RefSeq and is a predicted model, not a curated record. NCBI's taxonomy places the organism in Eukaryota, Metazoa, Chordata, Aves, Casuariiformes, Dromaiidae.
AGACAACCCUGAGAAGCUCAGAAAGAAUGUUUGAAGUAGGUAGAUUUGGAUAAUUUCUAUCUUAGAUAGAAUUUGCUUAGCAUGAGUAGCCGCACACUUGCUUAGCAUAAGUAGCUAAAUUUGCUGAAGCCUUAGGCCGCGCUCCUAGUUCGUUAAGAAAAGGCCUCAGAGCUGGUGCAGGCUGGAAAGAUAAGGGAGUUACAAGCAGUCUGCAUUCCUGUGCCCCACUCUCCGAAAGGGAGGAUGUCAAGGCUGUGAAAUAAGGCCUGCUUGGGCGCCAGGACCUUGGGAAGCAAAGCCUCCUCUCACUGUUGAAACAGUGUUAAUUAAGGGGUCUGGAUUAUGUCCUCUUCCUCAGGACCUUGGGAGAUAACGUCUACUGACCUAGCUGGGGCAGUGUUAAUUGACCAGGUCCUUGAGAAGCAGGGGUGGGAUCCAGGGAAUGAAGAAAUCACUAACCAAUCAGUGUAAAAGGGAAAGUCGUAAAUCUGGCAAUUUGUGUGUAUAAAUGCUACUUGAAAAGUUGGGGGGGUGUGCUCGAUUUGUGGGAGACCACCGAGCACCCAGGCUUGCGCAACUCUGAAAUAAAUAAAUAAAUGUCUCUCCUGAGUGUGUAAUUAUUGGCUCAUUGCACACCGGGCAACGAAUCCGCUUUUCGGACAACAGUUUUCUGGCGACCCAGGUGGGACCCUCGCUGUAAAGCCUUGCCCGGAUCGUCUUACCAGUUCCGGCAGGGAGACGCUGCUCAUCAGACUCCAGCGCGCACCGACCGUUUUGUUCGGGGACUCCGUGAGCACCCUCCCUGGUCGGAACAGCCAGGAGAUCAAGUAUACCUUCGGACCUGGAAGGACGAGCCGUUGGUAGAAAAGUGGAGGGGACCGUAUCUUGUACUGCUAACAACAAAUACUGCUGUGAAACUGCAGGGAAUUGAUUCCUGGAUCCACUACACCCGAGUGAAAGCAGUACCUCGAGAGACGUGGAAAGCUGAACAAGUUCAACCUUUAAAGUUAAAAAUAUAUAAAGAUAUUUGAGUUGUAUUGAAAGCGAAUCGGUUUUAAAUUUAGAUUGUAUUCAGGAAAGAAUUGCUUUAAUCUGUUUGUUAGGAAUAGGGUUAAUAUUGUUGUUAUGGUAUCUAUAGUAUCUGUGUAAAAAUGAUGUUCUCCCAAAUAACCAGGAGAGAAAUGUGGUGGUUAGUUUUUCUAAGUUACCUGAGCCAAACAAUUAAAGGGAACCAGGAAGGAUUUUGGAGCCAUAAUCUCCAUUUGGAAGUAAUUAUGAAAUCUAUGAAGAUAAUUAACCAGAAGGAUUGCUGGGUGUGUACCCACUUCCCUGAACAUUCUAACAAGGGCUUCCCCCUAAUUGGAGUGCCUCUUAAUUUUUCCUUUAUGGAAUUUAUGAAACAGAUAAGAAAUGAUAGCGAUCAAACGAAAUAUAAUGAAACAACCGAACAGGAAUGGGAAGUCCAGAGUGUGACAGGAGAUUAUUAUCAAUGUGUCCGAAGAUGUAAUAAUAGUAAUAGAUGGUGGGAAAAAACUGUACCCUAUGGAAAGCAACCGAUCAACUGUACUGGGGCCAUUAAGGUGGGAGGUUAUAAAAAUUGCUCUCAUAUACCUGAAAUAGGUUAUAAAUGGCCAAGUAAGGAACUAAAUGGGUGGCAUGUUCCGAAAGGUAGUGGAUGGUAUUGGUUGUGUGGGAACAAGGCACGAAAAGUGCUACCUCCUAAUUGGUCAGGGACGUGUACUUUAGGGGCAAUAAUCCCUAAUGUUACUAUAAGAAAAGAACUAAGUAAUAAAUAUCAAAAAUCCUGGCUAAGAACAUUCAUGAGGAGACAAAAGAGGGUCAAUAAUCCUUUAAUGGAUCGACCUACUCGGUUUCAGUCAUUCGUAAGGUGGCUGUUUCCACAAUUGGGAGUGAGCGAACUUGAAAAAGCAAUAGUAAAUAUUUCAGCAGUUAUUGAAAAAAUAGGGAAUAAAACCUCUGAUGCCAUUGCAGCUUUACAAGAGGAGGUUUCAGAAAUUGCUAAAAUAAGUACCCAAAACCGAAUGGCUCUAGAUAUGUUAUUGGCAUCUCAGGGAGGAGUAUGUACAGUAAUAAAUACUAGUUGCUGUGUAUAUGUGGAUCAAAGCGGGAGAAUUUCUACCGAUCUAAAUGAAAUCUGGAAGCAGACUGAAAUCUUACAUGAGGUUCAGAAAGAUGAUACUUCUUUCGGAUUUGAAGAAAUAUGGAAAUGGUUGACUUCCUGGUUCCCUGAUGUGAGCUCAUGGGUUAAAAAAUGUUUAACAAUUCUAGGAUUGAUGCUAGUAAUUUUUGUAUGCGUUUAUGUAGUGAUUCAAUGUAUUUCUAAGUGUUAUAUGAAACUAAUAUGGGAAAGAUUUUAAAAGAGUGAGACUAAUAUGAAAAUGAUCAUAUAAGUCUCAAAGGGGGGAAUUGUUACAAGACAACCCUGAGAAGCUCAGAAAGAAUGUUUGAAGUAGGUAGAUUUGGAUAAUUUCUAUCUUAGAUAGAAUUUGCUUAGCAUGAGUAGCCGCACACUUGCUUAGCAUAAGUAGCUAAAUUUGCUGAAGCCUUAGGCCGCGCUCCUAGUUCGUUAAGAAAAGGCCUCAGAGCUGGUGCAGGCUGGAAAGAUAAGGGAGUUACAAGCAGUCUGCAUUCCUGUGCCCCACUCUCCGAAAGGGAGGAUGUCAAGGCUGUGAAAUAAGGCCUGCUUGGGCGCCAGGACCUUGGGAAGCAAAGCCUCCUCUCACUGUUGAAACAGUGUUAAUUAAGGGGUCUGGAUUAUGUCCUCUUCCUCAGGACCUUGGGAGAUAACGUCUACUGACCUAGCUGGGGCAGUGUUAAUUGACCAGGUCCUUGAGAAGCAGGGGUGGGAUCCAGGGAAUGAAGAAAUCACUAACCAAUCAGUGUAAAAGGGAAAGUCGUAAAUCUGGCAAUUUGUGUGUAUAAAUGCUACUUGAAAAGUUGGGGGGGUGUGCUCGAUUUGUGGGAGACCACCGAGCACCCAGGCUUGCGCAACUCUGAAAUAAAUAAAUAAAUGUCU